CCUACGGGUGGCAGCAGUGAGGAAUAUUGGUCAAUGGACGAGAGUCUGAACCAGCCAAGUAGCGUGAAGGAUGACUGCCCUAUGGGUUGUAAACUUCUUUUAUAUGGGAAUAAAACGUUCCACGUGUGGGAUUUUGUAUGUACCAUAUGAAUAAGGAUCGGCUAACUCCGUGCCAGCAGCCGCGGUAAUACGGACGAUCCGAGCGUUAUCCGGAUUUAUUGGGUUUAAAGGGAGCGUAGGUGGAUUGUUAAGUCAGUUGUGAAAGUUUGCGGCUCAACCGUAAAAUUGCAGUUGAAACUGGCAGUCUUGAGUACAGUAGAGGUGGGCGGAAUUCGUGGUGUAGCGGUGAAAUGCUUAGAUAUCACGAAGAAAUCCGAUUGCGAAGGCAGUUCACUGGACUGCAACUGACACUGAGGCUCGAAAGUGUGGGUAUCAAACAGGAUUAGAUACCCGUGUAGUC
Molecule: ribosomal RNA, 460 nt
Filed under: uncultured bacterium
Lineage: Bacteria
Description: partial 16S ribosomal RNA
Rfam family: Bacterial small subunit ribosomal RNA
Source: RNAcentral